ACACAUGCAAGUCGAGCGGUAAGGCUNCUUCGGGAGUACACGAGCGGCGAACGGGUGAGUAACACGUGAGCAAUCUGCCCUUCACACUGGGAUACCCCCCGGAAACGGGAGCUAAUACCGGAUACGACCACUUCGGGCAUCCGAUGGUGGUGGAAAGUUCUGGCGGUGAAGGAUGAGCUCGCGGCCUAUCAGCUUGUUGGUGAGGUAAUGGCUCACCAAGGCUUCGACGGGUAGCCGGCCUGAGAGGGUGACCGGCCACACUGGGACUGGGACACGGCCCAGACUCCUACGGGAGGCAGCAGUGGGGAAUAUUGGACAAUGGGCGAAAGCCUGAUCCAGCAACGCCGCGUGAGGGAUGACGGCCUUCGGAUUGUAAACCUCUUUCAGCAGGGACGAAGCGAAAGUGACGGUACCUGCAGAAGAAGCACCGGCCAACUACGUGCCAGCAGCCGCGGUAAUACGUAGGGUGCGAGCGUUGUCCGGAAUUAUUGGGCGUAAAGGGCUCGUAGGCGGUCUGUUGCGUCGGGAGUGAAAACUCAGGGCUUAACCCCGAGCCUGCUUCCGAUACG
RNAcentral lists this ribosomal RNA (569 nucleotides) under uncultured soil bacterium. RNAcentral's name for it is "bacterial SSU rRNA". It matches the Rfam family "Bacterial small subunit ribosomal RNA", at positions 51 to 634 of the family's 1533-position model. The record is from RNAcentral.